GCCAUGUGCAAACUACAACUUUUUUGCAGGUCUGCAAUCUGCAAAGAUAAAUCUGAUAUAAUGAUCCCAACUUCUUAGUUAGCUCCCAUAUAAGUAUCGCAUUAAAUUCAUAAUCGCACAAUAUUUAUUCAAGAGCACAUUAAGCGUUUCAAACGUGCCAUUCAGAAAGCCUAAGAUGUUAUUCCUCUGGCUGGAUCGGCGGAUUCAUGUCCCGAAUCAGCACAAGAUGUCAGAGCCAUAUUGGGACAUUGGCGGCUUCACUUUUCUACAAUGGAAGAGAGUGGAGAUUCAUGCAAUGGAAGUCAAUGGACACCAAUGUUGUUUGGACCCUAUGCAAUGUUCUUCAAAAUGUCUUCUUUUGUGUUCCACAUACAGGUCAUACAGGUUUGGAGCAACGUGAAGGCUGAGUAAAUGAUGACAGAGUUUUCACUCUUCUUUUAAAAUGUGAUUUCUUUCUCAUCUAACACUGACUUUGUUAGUGCUUUCUAAUGUUUAUCAUAUUUUUGCAAUGAAUAAAACCAGUUAAUUUAGAUGUUAUACCUUCUAUUAAUAUGUGUCCUUUAAAUUAGUUUUAUCGCAAUUA
Long non-coding RNA from Megalobrama amblycephala (Wuchang bream), 583 nucleotides. RefSeq lists it as uncharacterized. NCBI's taxonomy places the organism in Eukaryota, Metazoa, Chordata, Actinopteri, Cypriniformes, Xenocyprididae. The transcript has 3 exons. The record is from RefSeq and is a predicted model, not a curated record.